GUCAACAUGGAUUCACCAAUGGCAAGUCAUGCCUGACCAAUCUGAUUAGCUUCUAUGAUGAGGAAAAGCUUCAAGCCCAAGACGACUGCCACCAGAGAAGACCAGAUUGUCAAGUCAGCCCAAUGCAACCCUUGUUGAGAUCCAUGGGUUUUGGUUCUUUUCCUAGCUGACCUUUCACACCUCACUGUCUGUUGCAACAACUCACAUCCUGUUUCAAUCAACACAGAUCAUAAAUUUUUCAAGAAGAGGAUGUAUUGUAUAAGUUUUUGAAGCAUAAUGUAUCUUUAUGGGGCUACAGAAGCACACCACAGACUGUUUCAAUGGAAAUAAGCAUUCUUUUCAUUUUGUUGUCAUAGUCCAAAGCCAAUAUGAAAACACACUGUUCUAGAUUUUUCAUUUUCUCUACAGAAGUACUAUUAUGCACAGAGAAAUUUAAAACAAUUUAAAAUUGGAAAUUUAAAAUUUCCAGAGAAAUUUAAAACAAUUCUAAUCCAUAUGUGCAUGCACAUAAUAUGAAUUAAUGUUGCCAGCCUGGAUAGUCCAACUACAGCCAAACCAUAAAAGGGAAGGAAAUUAGCAGUUUAAUUAUUCCCCUUACUACAUCUGAACUUCAGCAUCCAUUUCCCACCUCCGCCAUGUUCUCUCUACCACUCAUGGCUACAUAAUUAUAUAUAUUUUGAUGUUUAAUAUAAUGUGGUUGUAACCCUCAGAAUUACCCCAUACAUGACGUCAUGCAUCUGACAAAGUAGUCUGACCCACAAAAGCUCAUGCCCAAAUAAAUCUUUAAGGUGUCACGGGAUUUCUCAUUAUCACGACCAAGGUAUGUAAUUUCAUACUAAUGGAAGUCAGAUCAUGGUAAUAAGAUUAUAUAGUGUGGCCAUUAAAUAAGUUUUUCUGUAACAUUCAGGAAAAAAAAUGUGACAAGGAUGAUCUACAGCUCUUCAAGCACACCAAGCAAGAACCAUAUCCCCAGGCAACUGCAUUAUUUUAAAACUGUGGUGUGUGAAUCACAGUUGGUUUAUAGAGCUUCUGCUGUCACAACAGUGACUCAGCCCUGGACCAGCUUUAUCUAGAGCAGGUCAAAACUGUAUUUUGAAUAGAAAAAUGUUUGGACAUUUUUACCUUGUGAGAAAGUGUCAAUUUUCAUGACAUUUCAAUUUGAAAGAGUCCAAGUGUUUAAUUUCAACUUUAUCAAUUUCACUCAUUUUGUUUUGACUUAUACUAUAAUAUUAAAAGUAAUAUUUCAUCAACAUGAACUGUUUUUAUGGUUCCAACAUUUUUUGGAAAUUUCAGCUUUUCAGUUCAAUUUAGAGUCAAACAAGCCUUCAAAAUGUUGGAAGUUCCUGAAAAACAGAAAUUGCAUAUUCUGACCAGCUCCAGUUUCAUUGUAAACCAGCUGCUAAUGGUCUUGGGUUACGUCCUUAGAAAGAGGGUUUAUAUCACUUGUGAAUUAUAAUCCUACUUGAUGCAACUGCAGGUAUUCUUUUUACUCAUAUAAAUAUAUAAUCCUUUUUUUAAAUCCCACUAAGCCUCAGUAAUAAGCCAAUUGAGAAAGUGCUUAGCUGGAUAAUCUGGAUCUAGAUUUCUUGCACCUGAUAAAUGAACCAUAACGCCAAACCAACAAACCACUUUGUUACAUGAGCACUUCACACUAUGUUAAGAAAACAGCAGCAAUAAUUCGCCAACAAAGGAACAGAGCACUUGCUUUCAUUCAAGAGCUUCCCUGGGAUUUGAACCUGCAGGAGCAAGAAAAACAUUUUACUAAAAUAAGCUGCAUUCUAAAAUUCAGUGGGGAAUUUCUUCUAUGAUACAUUAUGGCAAGCGAACAGGAACACUCAAAACUUAAAAGGGGGGAGGGGGAAAGCUUGCUGUGAAACACCUCAUAAAAUAAUCACCAGGACAAGAAAUGUCUGCUACAGAUUCCUUAUGACAGAAUGCAUCAAGUAAAGAGGGAUAGUUGUUUUAUAGACAUUCAAAAUCUCCUGGGUUCCCCAAAUUCAUAGAACUAAAUCAUCCUGUGUUGCUACCAUGUUUUUGUAGCAUGGACCACUUUUUAAAGGCAACAAAUGGAGUGCAGGGCAGCUGUGCUCCUCUUUUUUUAUAUUGUAUAUAUAUGAUGGAGAAGGUCUAUUCUCAUUGUGUUCUUGUUUGUUUGCUUUCUUGUUUUGUUUUGGAAACUCUGCUCUAUGCAGAAUACUGGUAACAACAGUGAUAUUUUUAAUUUCCUACAUGUACCACCUUUUUAAGAUCGCAAAGUGCUUUGCAGGGAUAAUAAUAAUCCAGAUUUUGAAGAUGGAGAAAAUGUAUCAGAAAAGUGAGGUGUCUUGUUUAGAACCACAAAUAGGUAUAUAAAAUCCCAUUGAUUCAGUUAAAUGAGUGGGUGGGCUUAUUGGUUAACAAUUCACAUCUCUAGUCAUGAAUGAAAUCUAGACCUCCUAAAUUCACCCUCCUCAAGUCACACAACAGUUUGUGUGUCUUCUCUUAGCACUCAGAUUUGCAUUCUUGAUUUAAUUAGACACAUGGAAAUUAAGUUUUCUAUCUACCCAAGUUGAAAAGUUCAUCCUGUUCUAGUUUUUCAUAGAAUAACAAAACCUUAAAGUUUAGCACCUGGAAUCCAUUACAAGUCUAGUACAAAUCUUUAUUCAGGAGAUUUGAGAAUCAUUGUAAGUUUUAAUGUUAGCUUUUCAAGCACAGCAUAUACUCAGAUUGUAAAUGCCAUCAAUAACAUCAGAUUAUAUUCAGUUUACUGUAAGUACAUCUUAAUAUUUUAUUCACGUUCAUUAAACAACAUUCAAUUCAGCCUAUAAAGCCUUACUCAGAAGCUCUGUAUUUUGCAAACCUACAGAAGCAGAAAAUAGAUAAUUCAAAAAGCUUAAGAGAAAAGAUCUCAACUACAGUAUAAGCCAGGGGUCCCCAAACUACGGCCCGCGGGCCGGAUGCGGCCCGCGAGGCCCUCUCAUCCAGCCCGUGGAGACCUUUUUGUCUACGGAAAAAAAAUUACGGAAAUUUACGUGUAUCCUGCCAA
Pelodiscus sinensis (Chinese soft-shelled turtle) is the source of this 3025-nucleotide non-coding RNA. Lineage: Eukaryota; Metazoa; Chordata; Testudines; Trionychidae. The record is from RefSeq and is a predicted model, not a curated record.